This is a long non-coding RNA of Felis catus (domestic cat), 5054 nucleotides long. RefSeq lists it as uncharacterized. The record is from RefSeq and is a predicted model, not a curated record. NCBI's taxonomy places the organism in Eukaryota, Metazoa, Chordata, Mammalia, Carnivora, Felidae. The transcript is spliced from 3 exons.
UUUUAAGUGUGUAAUUCAGCGGCAUUAAUUAUAUUCACAAUCCCUGAUAUCACACUAUUUUUCUUACUAGGAAAAAAAAGUUGAUUUUUCACGUGAAGUGCUUUUAAUUCUCUGCAGGGAGGAUGAAAUCUUUAUGUUCUGAUACCACUUGUGAAAGAUGAAGAAUAAAUUAGAAGGGAGACCUGAAAGCAAAUUUAAAGCCCUCACAUCUGCUGACCAGCCCUGUGCCUUGCGACUUAAAAAAAAAAAAAAAAAAAAAAAGAUUAUUUGUAAUUCCUACAUACUACGAAAAUACAUGCUUUUAAAAUGUUUCAUCCUUCUGGGGAAAAUGUGUUUUCAAAAGGAGAAAAAUCCCUCUUUGGGCUACAAGAAAAGUCACCUGUGUGAGCAAGUGUAUCCACACGGUAACCUGGGAUGAGCACUGGGUGUUGUGUGUAAGGGAUGAACCACGGGAAUCUACCCCCAAAACCAAGAGCACGCUGUAUACACUGUAUGUUAGCCUGUUUGACAAGAAAUUAGAUUAAAAAAAAAAAAGAUAAUCUGCUGAUAUAAUAAAGUGGAUUAAUUGUUACUUCUCAGGGGAGAAAAGAACAAUCUGUCACACUGCACAGACAUACACGUUCAGAAGUGAAAUACAAAUGUAGUUGCAUUUUUAUAAAGGUCCUCAAUAUCUUACUCAACCCAAAGAGACAGCUGAACAGUGGGAAUCUGAGUUAAGGUGGCAAACCCCAAGGAGGGAACGAUGGUGAGCGAGGGCCAUGAGGCAUAGUGGAGGCAGCCUUGGACCUGAACUCAGGGACAGCUGGGACUGGGACCCUUUUCUGCGGUUUACCAGCUACUCGGCCCGGGGAAGUCAUUUCCCUUCUGAUGCCUCAAUUUGUUCUCACCCACGAGAAGGAGCGUGUCGAGCGGAAUGCUUUCAGCUGCAAAGAACAGAAAACCCAACUCACAACAGCUGAGACAAUCGAGAGUCUCGCAGGGAGAAGUGGGAGGGAGGAGGGUCAGGGUGGGCUCUCUCAGCUCCAGGCUGUUCUCCAGCCCCCAGGUUCCUUCCGUCUCCCUGCUCUGCCCGUGUCUGCUCAGGAUAACCGCUCCUCCUCCAGGCCUCAAACUCAGACGCAACAGCAGCCAAGGAGCAGAACAGCAGCUCUGUGAAGAGCGAGGAGGAUCGUUCCUCGAAGCCCUUCACCAGACUUGCUCCUGCAUCCCUCUAGAACUGUGCCAGGUGCCUAACUGGCGGCUAGCAAAGGGAGUGCCCCCCACCCUGCCCUGUGCUGCUCCGAGAUCUGGGAAUCGGGGAGCAGCGCCCACCCCCUCUGAGGCCCAGGAAGGAGGAACAAAGCCGAGGCCCAAUAUUCACACGGAAAAGGAGACAGAUGGGGACCCCCGGAAUAACUGAAUGGCAGAGAUGGUGGCCUCACAAGAUGGAGGUGGCCUGGGUCCCUGAAGUACCACACGGAGCCUAGCUGCUCAGGAGAUCACUGAGGCUGCCUGGGACAAGGCCAUGGGACAACUGCUUUGCUGGCAAGGGCGAGUUCCUCUCCAGGCUUAGAGGGUGAAGCAGACAUGGACACGUACGUGGACAGCCAGGGAUAGAGGGCCACUAGCCAUCGCAUCAUAAAAGUCCUUUGCAAAAAAAAAAAAAAAAAAGCCUUUGCUAAAUGCAGAAAACCACCUACAUUCCCUGUCCUAGUCAGCUCAGUCUCUGAUAAACCCCACAGUGCCUGCCUGAUUUGCCAAGAUUUCAAUGUGCUCCCCACGUGGGUGCUAUGGCCACUCCUGCCACAUUUCCACCCAGGAUCCUAAAGACCUGGCCACAGACUUGACUCCUUUUGUUGCACAACAGUUGGGCAUUUUCAAAUCAAAUAGAGUCAAUCCAUUCACUUAACACUCAGCAAAUAUUUGCCCAGUGCUACUGUUUGCUUAAGGGACUUAACUAAAAGGAAAAGGGAAAGCGGGCAGGGUGAGAAAAUGACUAGGUUAUAUUAGGAUAAGAGUGGUUUUUCCUGUCGGGUUUUCACUUGGUAUACCCAAGUGAGAUAGGGAUUUGGAAUUUGGAUUUCAAACUUGAAAGGAAUUGUCGUUGCUGGCUGAAUGAGAAGUGGCAUUCUGAGCAGCAUGUUAAACGCUCAUGGAACAAGACGAUCCAUAUUCAACCUGAAGAUUUUCCUUAGAUGCAUCUAGAAUUCUUACUCGACCAGGGACGUGUUCGUAGUCAUGGUGGGUAGGAUGAUGAUGAUGAGCACCUUCUCUGUGCCAGGCACUCUGCUAAAUGCUUUCUGCAUGUUCUCUCCACACCUAACCACCUAAUCCUACAAACCAGGUAUUGUACACUUGAGGAGGUCAGGAUUCAGAGAGGCUGAUGCACUUGUCCAAGGCCACGUAGGGGCAUGUAGGGGCAGAGCCAGGAUAUGAAUUGAGGUCUUCUUGUCUCCAAAAAUUACGACCAUUCACCCUCAUGCCAUGCCCCACCACUUCAGAAUGGGAGGGGACUUUCAGGUAAAUUAACAAAAGUGUGUGCUAAGUCAGGGGUCCUCAAACUUUCGCAUGCACCAGAGUCACUGGGAGGGCUUAUUACAAUCAGGUAGUUGGGGGGGGAGGGGGGCGCCUGGGUGGCUCAGUCGGUUAAGUGUCUGACUUCGGCCCAGGUCCUGAUCUCACCAUUUGGUGUGUGAGUUCAAGCCCCCACACCAGGCUCCCUGCUCUCAGCCCAAAGCCUGCCUUGGAGGCUCUGUUCCUGUAGCUCUCUGUCCCUCCCCCGCUCUCAUUCUGUGUCUCCCAAAUAAAUUAACAUUAUAUAUGUAGAUAUAUAGUACAGAUAGUUGGGGGCCACCCCCAGAGCUUCCGAUUCAGUAGGUCUGGUGUGGGGCCUGACAAACCCAGGUGCUCCUGGUGCUGCUCCUCAGAACCACCGCUCUAAGAGACAGACUCCAUUAACUUUCCCACCUCCAGGUCAGUUUGGCCCCUCCAAAGUCUACCCGCUUUACCCGCCUGAAGAGAAGAGGGAGGGCAAGUGCUGCCCCAGAUCUUCCCCCUCUGUUUUCAUGGGAGCCCGUGUUAGAGACCACAGGCUCCGUGCCGACAGAGCGGGGCCGCCCUCCCCCUGCACCCCCGGCGUCAAUCCCAGGCCCCCCUGGACUUUCGCUCACUUGCUGCUGCUCGGUGGACCGAAUCCGCUUUCACCUACUCGGUCGAGUAUGGUUUGAGAACUCUGCCUGCCUGCAAUACCCUCUUUCUUCCCAUCCACGGGACUUUAGACUGGGAGUAAGAGAUCUGAUUCAGGUGACAUGGGCCAUAGGUUAUCUGCCACCUGAGAUCCUUGUUCCUCUGGAAAGAUAAACUUUCUGGCAGCUGGGUGACCUUCCCGACUUACAGGUUUAUAUGGGAAUAUGUGUUUCAAAGGCUCAUGAACUUUUAGACUUGGAAGAGAUCUUAGCCGAAGAGGAAAGGAAGGAAACUCAUACUUAGAAUAUGCCACGUAUCAGGCACAAGGCCAGAGGCUUAGUAUGUGUCAUCGUAUUUACUCUUCAGAGCGACUCUAUGCGUUAGGGUGUGUGUGUCUUUUGAUCCCAUGUACAGAUGAGAAAACUCAGAUUAUAAGAAGUUCGGCAACCGGCCACUCUGACACAGCUAGUAAAGAACUCCUCCACGAUCUGCCCCCAGGUCUGCCCCUGCUCUCUCCACUAAUGCUGGCCCGUCAGUUCACAACACUGAUAUCCUCUCCACUUUCAGCAUAAAGUUAUUGAGCUUUGGGCCACCCACGAGGUCCAAAGCCUGCCUUAAUAAGACAAAACCUGAGUCAGUCACGUAGUAGUCAGUGCUAGGGAAGCAAUAACAGGUCCAGUUUGAGAUGCAGCCGUGGUGGGCAGGAAAGAGGCCAUGGUCAAGUGCUGGGGGAGCAAGUGGGAGGUCCUAGGAUUCUAGAAGAGUGGGUUGCAAGAGCUGCUCGGGGCAGGCAAAGAUAAACAGGGUCACACGGGUCUCAGGGGAAGAUGUGACAGCCAGUCUGGGGCCUUAAGUUAGAACUAACUGCUGUGCUCCUCCAAAGAGUCAGGUGCCAGCCUUCCUGGCCAGGCUGUGGGCCUUUGUGAAGGCAGCUCCCAUGCCCAGAGGCAUGUCUGUCAAGUGCCUACCUUUGUGCCCCAGCAUUGUGCAAAAUGAUGAGGCUACACCUUGAAAGAAAAAAAAAAGUCCUCAAAGAGUACCUGUUUAGGAGCAGGUACAAGCAACUAACUAAACCCAGGCAGAUAAAUUAAUUUGAAUAUAGUGCCUUAUAGUUUGGAAAGCCUGUUCACAUACACACACGGUGUCCAGUGACCCUCACGAGGACCCUACCGCAGGGGCGAAGAGGAAGGUUGCUGUGCUAGGCAUUCUGUCCUUCCACACCUGAUGUCUCAUGGACCCUUGGCACACCCCAGGGGACUCACAGUGGAGGGGUGGGUGAGGCUUCCUGGAAGUGUAGCAGUUGAGUUGGGCUUGGAAGGACAGGUUAGGAGUUCUACGUGCAGAAAAGAGGAAAAGGGGGUUCCUGCAGGUGGAGGGAAUGCUGCCAUUUGUUUCACUGUGACUUCGGGGUUGUAGGCACUGUAGCCUUAGCUGAGGGGAGGGAGGCUUGGGACAGCCUCUGGGCCUCUUCCCUUCCCAGUUGAAAGGCUGUAGCUUUUUUAUAUCUGCCCUCUUGUGACAGCUCCCGCCAGAAGAGCCAGUAUGUCUCAAAUGCUGGCAAAUAGGCAUCUCAGGGGCUGGAGACAUGUGCUUUCAGCUGACAAGGGCUGGCUUGGGGAUAAAAGUUAAGAUCUAUUAUUUUCUCUCUCUGCCAUCCAUUUUUCCUCAAUGACUGUUUUCCUAGAGUCCAUCAUGUAGUGAUCGUGACAGACCAGGAACAAAUGAGGGAGGAGCCAUCAACCAUGGGUGUCAUCUGUCCUUGUUGAGUCACUGAAAGAAAAUGUUAGCCCAGGGAUGCCUGGAUGGCUCAGUCGGUGAAGCACCUGACUUCGGCUCAGAUCAUGAUCUCACAGCUUGUGAGUUCGAGCCCCGUGUUGGGCUCUGUACUG